This 437-nucleotide ribosomal RNA is filed under the name uncultured bacterium. RNAcentral's name for it is "bacterial SSU rRNA". It matches the Rfam family "Bacterial small subunit ribosomal RNA", at positions 30 to 472 of the family's 1533-position model. The record is from RNAcentral.
AUUGAACGCUGGCGGCAUGCCUUACACAUGCAAGUCGAACGGCAGCGGGCCUUCGGGUGCCGGCGAGUGGCGAACGGGUGAGUAAUGCAUCGGAACGUGCCAUUGAGUGGGGGGAUAACGUAGCGAAAGUUACGCUAAUACCGCAUAUUCUGUGAGCAGGAAAGCAGGGGACCGCAAGGCCUUGCGCUCUUUGAGCGGCCGAUGUCAGAUUAGCUAGUUGGUGAGGUAAAGGCUUACCAAGGCGACGAUCUGUAGCGGGUCUGAGAGGAUGAUCCGCCACACUGGAACUGAGACACGGUCCAGACUCCUACGGGAGGCAGCAGUGGGGAAUUUUGGACAAUGGGCGCAAGCCUGAUCCAGCAAUGCCGCGUGCAGGAAGAAGGCCUUCGGUUGGUAAACUGCUUUUGUCUAGGGAAGGAAAUACCUCUAGGUUAAUA